RNAcentral lists this ribosomal RNA (653 nucleotides) under Shigella flexneri. Its description in RNAcentral is "bacterial SSU rRNA". It matches the Rfam family "Bacterial small subunit ribosomal RNA", at positions 848 to 1502 of the family's 1533-position model. The record is from RNAcentral. Lineage: Bacteria; Pseudomonadati; Pseudomonadota; Gammaproteobacteria; Enterobacterales; Enterobacteriaceae.
GAGCUAACGCGUUAAGUCGACCGCCUGGGGAGUACGGCCGCAAGGUUAAAACUCAAAUGAAUUGACGGGGGCCCGCACAAGCGGUGGAGCAUGUGGUUUAAUUCGAUGCAACGCGAAGAACCUUACCUGGUCUUGACAUCCACGGAAGUUUUCAGAGAUGAGAAUGUGCCUUCGGGAACCGUGAGACAGGUGCUGCAUGGCUGUCGUCAGCUCGUGUUGUGAAAUGUUGGGUUAAGUCCCGCAACGAGCGCAACCCUUAUCCUUUGUUGCCAGCGGUCCGGCCGGGAACUCAAAGGAGACUGCCAGUGAUAAACUGGAGGAAGGUGGGGAUGACGUCAAGUCAUCAUGGCCCUUACGACCAGGGCUACACACGUGCUACAAUGGCGCAUACAAAGAGAAGCGACCUCGCGAGAGCAAGCGGACCUCAUAAAGUGCGUCGUAGUCCGGAUUGGAGUCUGCAACUCGACUCCAUGAAGUCGGAAUCGCUAGUAAUCGUGGAUCAGAAUGCCACGGUGAAUACGUUCCCGGGCCUUGUACACACCGCCCGUCACACCAUGGGAGUGGGUUGCAAAAGAAGUAGGUAGCUUAACCUUCGGGAGGGCGCUUACCACUUUGUGAUUCAUGACUGGGGUGAAGUCGUAACAAGGUAACCG